GUAGGGUNGCGAGCGUUAAUCGGAAUUACUGGGCGUAAAGCGUGCGCAGGCGGUUCGUUGUGUCGGUGGCGAAAUCCCCGGGCUUAACCUGGGAAUGGCCAUGGAAACUGGCGAACUGGAGUGUGGCAGAGGGGGGUGGAAUUCCGCGUGUAGCAGUGAAAUGCGUAGAGAUGCGGAGGAACACCGAUGGCGAAGGCAGCCCCCUGGGCUAGCACUGACGCUCAGGCACGAAAGCGUGGGGAGCAAACAGGAUUAGAUACCCUGGUAGUCCACGCCCUAAACCAUGUCAACUGGGUGUUCGGGAAGCGAUUUCUGAGUACCGUAGCUAACGCGUGAAGUUGACCGCCUGGGGAGUACGGCCGCAAGGUUA
RNAcentral lists this ribosomal RNA (370 nucleotides) under uncultured bacterium. RNAcentral describes it as "bacterial SSU rRNA". It matches the Rfam family "Bacterial small subunit ribosomal RNA", at positions 526 to 896 of the family's 1533-position model. The record is from RNAcentral.